Molecule: ribosomal RNA, 254 nt
Filed under: uncultured prokaryote
Description: partial 16S ribosomal RNA
Rfam family: Bacterial small subunit ribosomal RNA
Source: RNAcentral
UACGGGGGGAGCAAGCGUUGUUCGGAUUUACUGGGCGUAAAGGGCGCGUAGGCGGUCACUACAAGUCAGUUGUGAAAUCUCCGGGCUUAACUCGGAAAGGUCAACUGAUACUGUGCGACUAGAGUGCAGAAGGGGCAACUGGAAUUCUCGGUGUAGCGGUGAAAUGCGUAGAUAUCGAGAGGAACACCGGUGGCGAAGGCGGCCAACUGGACGAAUACUGACGCUGAGACUCGAAAGCGUGGGGAGCAAACAGG